CGUGAUAAGCUGCGAUAAGCUUCGGGGAGUUGCACGUAAACUUUGAUCCGAAGAUUUCCGAAUGAGGAAACUCACUUAGAGUAAUGUCUAAGUAUCAUUAAGUGAAUACAUAGCUUAAUGAGGGGAACUCAGGGAACUGAAACAUCUAAGUACCUGAAGGAAGAGAAAGAAAUUCGAUUCCGUAAGUAGCGGCGAGCGAACGCGGAUUAGCCCAAACUAAUAAAGUUUUCUUUAUUGGGGUUGCGGACAUAUCAUAACGAAGAGGUAUCGUAAUUGAAGAGGUUUGGAAAGACCCACCACAGAAGGUAAUAGUCCUGUAUGUUAAACGAGAAGAC
This 335-nucleotide ribosomal RNA is filed under the name Clostridioides difficile. Its description in RNAcentral is "partial 23S ribosomal RNA". It matches the Rfam family "Bacterial large subunit ribosomal RNA", at positions 57 to 393 of the family's 2925-position model. Lineage: Bacteria; Bacillati; Bacillota; Clostridia; Peptostreptococcales; Peptostreptococcaceae. The record is from RNAcentral.